Molecule: long non-coding RNA, 2229 nt
Organism: Benincasa hispida (wax gourd)
Lineage: Eukaryota; Viridiplantae; Streptophyta; Magnoliopsida; Cucurbitales; Cucurbitaceae
Source: RefSeq, a predicted model, not a curated record
AUCAUUUUUUUAAUUAAAACAUGAAUAACCAAUAUAUAGAUUGGUAAAGCAACCUUAGAGGGGAAUAGUGUUUAUGAAACAUGAGAUUUUUUUCAUAAAUAUGGUUCUAAUUUAACAAAUCGGUAAACUUUUUGCUAGCUUAAUUAAAACAAGUUCUAAUCUGGUUAGGAAGGUGAGCGCCACGCUCUUUUCUGUUCUCUCUCUUCGUGCAGUCUGCAUUCGUGUUAUCCAAAGCGAGGGCGCCCAGUGAAGGUUGCGCAAGCGAUCUCGAUCGUUGGCCUAGGGUUUUGGGUGUCGUUUGGUUUUUUCUUCUAUUGUCAGGGAUGUUCAUUUGCUUCGUUUCUGGGUGGAAUUAGUGUUCCUGUCUCGCGUUUCAGAUCUGGGUUUGUAGGUUAUCCCUUGUCACGCUUUUAUUUGUGUUUUUUCACCAUUGUCUGUUGAAUUCGAGCAUUCGUCGAUCUGUGGGUCUUCGGUGUCUAGGAGAUCUGGCCUGUUUCCGGAGGCGAGCAUCUACUGUGAGGAGAAGUUGCCAGAGUGUAGGCAUGUAUCUGAGAUUGGAGAGGGUGAGUAUGGUGUUCGGGAGCGUGCGGUGGCAAGGUCGGAGGUUGUCCACCGGUGGCAGCGGAACGAAGGAAUAAGAAGCCUGGGUUGCGAAUCCUAGAACUGGCUGUUGCGGUUUAGUCAAGACUGGAGUGGGUUGGUUCAUGGCACUGGAGGGCCGUCUGUUGGGUGGCUUCUUGAUGGGCCUCAUUCUGUGGAGGGUGUUGUAGGCCCUAAGCAGACUGAAGUGGGUGUAGUGAGUAUUAAGGGGUGUGGGCCGCGAGUUGGGCCAUCUGAUAUGGGUCUUCUUGUUAGGCCUCUUUCUGUGGAAGGUGUUGUGGGCCUCAGACAAGCAGAUGUUAAGGGGUCUGGGUCUGUUUUUAAUUCUUGUGGGCUUCGUGAGUCUAGGGUCCAAAGUGUGGUGGAUGGUGUCGAGGUUGAGGGUAGUCCAGUUUUGUCCACUCUUCCGGGUAGGAUUCGAUUGGGUUGACCCUGUCGAGGGUUCGGUUCUUCAUGUUGGUUCUGGGCGGGUCUCCUCUGGGUUUAAGUCAGGUCUGGUCGAAGAGAGGGUUAGGUCUGGUUCUUUGUUUGGUUUGACAGUCGGUUCAUCUGAGUUCAGAUCCAGUUUGAGGAGUAGUGGUUCUGGGUCUAGGUUAUUUUCUUCUUGUUUACAGCUUGGAUUGGGUAGUGAGGAUCCGGUUUAUGGUCAAAAGAAUCGGGUUGGGUCGAUUUUGUGGUUCUAGGCUCCCCAAUACGCCAGUCUCGCGGUCUGGUUCAGCUGUAACGAGCGGUCUGAAGGAGAGUGGCUCUGGUCGGGUGCUCAUUGUAUGGGUUCUAAGGAGGGCAGGUAUUGGGCUUCUCUUUUUGGUUCUUAGUUGAAGAAGAAUGUGGAUCUUGAGUUCAUUCCUAUGGUGGUUGAGGGCGAGCAUUCUUGUCAAACCGUCGUUAGAGGUUUUGGAGGAUGGUGUUGAUAUGUGGGAGCGCUCUCUUGUUGGAAAGUUUUUUGAUGCCAUGUUACCUUAUACUGUUAAUUCUCGCCUUAGUUCUAAAAGUUAGGGUAGGGUUGAGUUGCCUACUAUUACGCUUUUGGAGAAUGGGUUGAUACUGUUUCAGUUUCUUAAGGAGAAGUCUAGAGACUGGGUUCUAGCUAUAAGCCUUCGCAUAUUGGGGUAGCCUAUUUUGUUGCGUAAGUAGAUGCCCGAUAUUUUUCCUAAGACUUUUGUGUUUGAUUCUAUGCCAGUUUGGAUUAAACUAUCUCGUGUUCCGUUGGAGUUGUGGACUCAUAGGGGUUUGGCUAUUCUUGCCAGUGAAGUGGGUAAACCUAUGGCUUUAGAUAUGGCGACUAGGGAUAAACGUCAGUGUAUUUAGGUAAUGUGGAAGGCAUCUCUAUUUUAUUUUUACCCUGUGGUGAUGGAGGAUCAGUUGAUUAUUCGGACUCUGGUUGAUGUUGUUUCUGGUAACCGUGUGGAUAUUGUUUGUGUUUAUGCUUCUAAUCUUGUGGUUGAGUGGCAUAUUCUAAUAUUUGUUCAAGUUGGCAACAAAUGGGUGUUGUUAUCGAAGACUUUAAUGCUAUUUGUAAUCUUUUUUAUGUGUUUGGGGGUAGUCCUAAUUGUAUGGAGAUGGAGAAGUUUGAUCCAACAAUUAUAGAGGUUGAUUUUUUGGAACUUAAUGCACAGGGUAAUUGGUUUA